RNAcentral lists this ribosomal RNA (585 nucleotides) under uncultured bacterium. Its description in RNAcentral is "bacterial SSU rRNA". It matches the Rfam family "Bacterial small subunit ribosomal RNA", at positions 338 to 916 of the family's 1533-position model. The record is from RNAcentral.
CCUACGGGAGGCAGCAGUGGGGAAUUUUGGACAAUGGGCGAAAGCCUGAUCCAGCCAUUCCGCGUGCAGGAUGAAGGCCCUCGGGUUGUAAACUGCUUUUGUACAGAACGAAAAGGUUUCUACUAAUACUAGGAGCUCAUGACGGUACUGUAAGAAUAAGCACCGGCUAACUACGUGCCAGCAGCCGCGGUAAUACGUAGGGUGCAAGCGUUAAUCGGAAUUACUGGGCGUAAAGCGUGCGCAGGCGGUUAUAUAAGUCAGAUGUGAAAUCCCCGGGCUCAACCUGGGAACUGCAUUUGAGACUGUAUAGCUAGAGUACGGUAGAGGGGGAUGGAAUUCCGCGUGUAGCAGUGAAAUGCGUAGAUAUGCGGAGGAACACCGAUGGCGAAGGCAAUCCCCUGGACCUGUACUGACGCUCAUGCACGAAAGCGUGGGGAGCAAACAGGAUUAGAUACCCUGGUAGUCCACGCCCUAAACGAUGUCAACUGGUUGUUGGGUCUUAACUGACUCAGUAACGAAGCUAACGCGUGAAGUUGACCGCCUGGGGAGUACGGCCGCAAGGUUGAAACUCAAAUGAAUUGACGG